AACGCACGAGACCUGCGGACCUGCGGAGGGAUCAUUACCGAGUUAUACAACUCCCAAACCCACUGUGAACCUUACCUCAGUUGCCUCGGCGGGACCGCCCCGGCCGCCGCGCAAGCGGCGCCGGACUCCAAGGCGCCCGCCGCAGGGACCCAAAACUCUUUUGCAUUACGCCCAACGGCGGGAAUUUUUUCUCUGAGUGCAUAAGCAAAACAAAUGAAUCAAAACUUUCAGCAAUGGAUC
This 240-nucleotide unclassified non-coding RNA is filed under the name soil metagenome. Its description in RNAcentral is "partial contains 5.8S ribosomal RNA, internal transcribed spacer 2, and large subunit ribosomal RNA". The record is from RNAcentral.